This is an RNA transcript of Camarhynchus parvulus, 663 nucleotides long. It is a transcript of the gene named salivary acidic proline-rich phosphoprotein 1/2-like, with no coding region annotated. The record is from RefSeq and is a predicted model, not a curated record. The transcript has 6 exons. Lineage: Eukaryota; Metazoa; Chordata; Aves; Passeriformes; Thraupidae.
AAUCACUCCGUACAAGGUGGUGGGCGGGGUCUGUGGUGGUCACGCCCCCUGCCCUGAGUCAUUCCCAGCGCGGCCCCGGCGGAGCCAAGCCAUGGAGAGUUUUCGGGGCCUCUCGGACCAGGAGCUGCUGGAGAAACUGCAGAGCCGGCGCGGACCCCUCGGGCCCCCCCGCAAACUCUACGAGAAGAAAUUCUACGAGUUCGAGACCCGGCGCUGGAGGAGGGGGGGCGGAUGAUCCCGACAGCGACAGAGCCCCCCCAGAAUUUGGGGGGGGGGCACGAGCGUGGCAGCCUAUUGUGGAGCGCCCCCCCAGCCCCUCCCCCACCCUGACGGAUCACGCGGACAGCCCCCUGCGUUUGGAGCCCCGGCAGCCGCUCCGAGCCCCCCCGGGACCCCCCAAAAUCUUCGCGGGACCCCCCGAGCCCCCCCCGGGACCCCCCCCCGGGCGCCUCCUCCCCCUCCGAGCCCAGCUGGUGGCGCUGGGGGUGAUCGGGGGGGUCCUGCUGGGGCUGCUGCUGCUGGGGGGGGCUCCCGGCUGAGACCCCCACAAUCCUGCCGGGACCCCCCCCCCCCCAAAAAAAACCCCUCCUCCCAAAUCAUGGGGCACCCCAAAAUCCUCCCCAAAACCCCUCAGGAUGCUCAAAAUUCUCCCCAAAAUUCAGC